This 253-nucleotide ribosomal RNA is filed under the name uncultured bacterium. RNAcentral's name for it is "partial 16S ribosomal RNA". It matches the Rfam family "Bacterial small subunit ribosomal RNA", at positions 524 to 776 of the family's 1533-position model. The record is from RNAcentral.
UACGUAGGGCGCAAGCGUUGUCCGGAAUUAUUGGGCGUAAAGAGCUCGUAGGCGGCCUGUUGCGUCCGCUGUGAAAUCCCGGGGCUCAACCCCGGGCCUGCAGUGGAUACGGGCUGGCUAGAGGCAGGCAGGGGAGAACGGAAUUCCUGGUGUAGCGGUGAAAUGCGCAGAUAUCAGGAGGAACACCGGUGGCGAAGGCGGUUCUCUGGGCCUGUACUGACGCUGAGGAGCGAGAGCGUGGGGAGCGAACAGG